This 431-nucleotide ribosomal RNA is filed under the name uncultured bacterium. RNAcentral's name for it is "bacterial SSU rRNA". It matches the Rfam family "Bacterial small subunit ribosomal RNA", at positions 29 to 506 of the family's 1533-position model. The record is from RNAcentral.
ACGAACGCUGGCGGCAUGCCUAACACAUGCAAGUCGAACGAGACCUUCGGGUCUAGUGGCGCACGGGUGCGUAACACGUGGGAAUCUGCCCUUUGCUUCGGAAUAACAGUUAGAAAUGACUGCUAAUACCGGAUAAUGUCGUAAGACCAAAGAUUUAUCGGCAAAGGAUGAGCCCGCGUAGGAUUAGCUUGUUGGCGGGGUAAUGGCCCACCAAGGCGACGAUCCUUAGCUGGUCUGAGAGGAUGAUCAGCCACACUGGGACUGAGACACGGCCCAGACUCCUACGGGAGGCAGCAGUGGGGAAUAUUGGACAAUGGGCGAAAGCCUGAUCCAGCAAUGCCGCGUGAGUGAUGAAGGCCCUAGGGUUGUAAAGCUCUUUUACCAGGGAUGAUAAUGACAGUACCUGGAGAAUAAGCUCCGGCUAACUUCGU